RNAcentral lists this ribosomal RNA (347 nucleotides) under uncultured bacterium. Its description in RNAcentral is "partial 16S ribosomal RNA". It matches the Rfam family "Bacterial small subunit ribosomal RNA", at positions 338 to 682 of the family's 1533-position model. The record is from RNAcentral.
CCUACGGGUGGCAGCAGUGAGGAAUAUUGGUCAAUGGGCGCGAGCCUGAACCAGCCAAGUCGCGUGAGGGAUGAAGGUCCUAUGGAUGGUAAACCUCUUUUAUAAGGGAAUAAAGUGGGGGACGUGUCCGAUUUUGUAUGUACCUUAUGAAUAAGGAUCGGCUAACUCCGUGCCAGCAGCCGCGGUAAUACGGAGGAUCCGAGCGUUAUCCGGAUUUAUUGGGGUUAAAGGGUGCGUAGGCGGCCUUUUAAGUCAGCGGGGAAAGUCUGGGGCUCAACCCUAGACUUGCCGUUGAAACUGGGUGUCUUGUGUAUUUUUGAGGCAGGCGGAAUUCGUGGUGUAGCGGU